Molecule: ribosomal RNA, 394 nt
Filed under: uncultured bacterium
Lineage: Bacteria
Description: bacterial SSU rRNA
Rfam family: Bacterial small subunit ribosomal RNA
Source: RNAcentral
AUAUUGGACAAUGGGCGCAAGCCUGAUCCAGCCAUGCCGCGUGAGUGAUGAAGGCCUUAGGGUUGUAAAGCUCUUUCAUCAGGGAAGAUAAUGACGGUACCUGAAGAAGAAGCCCCGGCUAACUUCGUGCCAGCAGCCGCGGUAAUACGAAGGGGGCUAGCGUUGCUCGGAAUCACUGGGCGUAAAGCGCACGUAGGCGGCUUUCUAAGUCAGGGGUGAAAUCCCGGGGCUCAACCCCGGAACUGCCUUUGAUAAUGGAGAGCUUGAGUUCGGGAGAGGUGAGUGGAACUGCGAGUGUAGAGGUGAAAUUCGUAGAUAUUCGCAAGAACAACAGUGGCGAAGGCGGCGCACUGGCCCGAUACUGACGCUGAGGUGCGAAAGCGUGGGGAGCAAA